Non-coding RNA from Acanthosepion pharaonis, 95 nucleotides. NCBI's taxonomy places the organism in Eukaryota, Metazoa, Mollusca, Cephalopoda, Sepiida, Sepiidae. The record is from the annotation of a GenBank genome assembly.
UUGAGACACCUGUUCCCCUAGGAUUACUGAAGUUAAGCAACGUCGGGCUUCCUCAGUACCUAGGUGGGUGACAGCUUGGGAAUAUCAGCUUCUGU